This 460-nucleotide ribosomal RNA is filed under the name uncultured bacterium. RNAcentral describes it as "partial 16S ribosomal RNA". It matches the Rfam family "Bacterial small subunit ribosomal RNA", at positions 338 to 795 of the family's 1533-position model. The record is from RNAcentral.
CCUACGGGAGGCAGCAGUGAGGAAUAUUGGUCAAUGGACGAGAGUCUGAACCAGCCAAGUAGCGUGAAGGAUGACUGCCCUAUGGGUUGUAAACUUCUUUUAUAUGGGAAUAAAAUGUUCCACGUGUGGGAUUUUGUAUGUACCAUAUGAAUAAGGAUCGGCUAACUCCGUGCCAGCAGCCGCGGUAAUACGGAGGAUCCGAGCGUUAUCCGGAUUUAUUGGGUUUAAAGGGAGCGUAGGUGGAUUGUUAAGUCAGUUGUGAAAGUUUGCGGCUCAACCGUAAAAGUGCAGUUGAAACUGGCAGUCUUGAGUACAGGAGAGGUGGGCGGAAUUCGUGGUGUAGCGGUGAAAUGCUUAGAUAUCACGAAGAACUCCGAUUGCGAAGGCAGUUCACUGGACUGCAACUGACACUGAGGCUCGAAAGUGUGGGUAUCAAACAGGAUUAGAUACCCUUGUAGUC